ACAGAUAUCAUUGAAAGCAAUGGUUUGAUGUAGACCUCCCGUGGGUUCCCCACGUUCGGGGGGUGUGGCCUUGGCCAACCACCCACGGAAGCAACAGAUAAGAUACACAGAUGGGUGUCAUAAUACGCGCUGGGAGCACCUAUCACUUUUAAUGAUCCUUCCGCAGGUUCACCUACGGAAACCUUGUCACGACUUUUACUUCCUCUAAAUGACCAAGA
Molecule: unclassified non-coding RNA, 218 nt
Filed under: uncultured fungus
Lineage: Eukaryota; Fungi
Description: sequence contains 18S rRNA gene, ITS1, 5.8S rRNA gene, ITS2
Source: RNAcentral